UUUUUAGUUUUGCAAAAGCCGUGGAAGGGCAGACCGCUUUCUAAUACACAGGUAGUACCUUCUAUAAUGAAUGGUGGAAUAACAGCUUUAUACUUCAUUUUAUGGGGAAAGGGUGUCAAAUCAUGUGGCCCUGUCAGGUGUACAGGCACCAGACGCGGCUGAGUAGC
This is a non-coding RNA of Camellia sinensis, 167 nucleotides long. The record is from RefSeq and is a predicted model, not a curated record. Lineage: Eukaryota; Viridiplantae; Streptophyta; Magnoliopsida; Ericales; Theaceae.